This is a long non-coding RNA of Pipistrellus kuhlii (Kuhl's pipistrelle), 99 nucleotides long. RefSeq lists it as uncharacterized. The record is from RefSeq and is a predicted model, not a curated record. NCBI's taxonomy places the organism in Eukaryota, Metazoa, Chordata, Mammalia, Chiroptera, Vespertilionidae. The transcript has 3 exons.
UUAUAGACUUGUACAUCUUAAGCCUAUAUAAUUUUAUUAACCAAUGUCACCCUAAUAAAUUCAAUAAAAAUUAGAAAUGAAACAUUUAAAAAUAGAUGC